UCCAUUGCGUACUGCUAGUAGGUAGUCGAGCGCUGGAUUAGGAGCUUGCUCUGAUGGAGUUAGCGGGGACGGGUGAGUGACACGUGGGUAACCUGCCCAUAAGACUGGGAUAACUCCGGGAAACCGGGGCUAAUACCGGAUAACAUUUUGAACCGCAUGGUUCGAAAUUGAAAGGCGGCUUCGGCUGUCACUUAUGGAUGGACCCGCGUCGCAUUAGCUAGUUGGUGAGGUAACGGCUCACCAAGGCAACGAUGCGUAGCCGACCUGAGAGGGUGAUCGGCCACACUGGGACUGAGACACGGCCCAGACUCCUACGGGAGGCAGCAGUAGGGAAUCUUCCGCAAUGGACGAAAGUCUGACGGAGCAACGCCGCGUGAGUGAUGAAGGCUUUCGGGUCGUAAAACUCUGUUGUUAGGGAAGAACAAGUGCUAGUUGAAUAAGCUGGCACCUUGACGGUACCUAACCAGAAAGCCACGGGUAAGUACGUGCCAGCAGCCGCGGUAAUACGUAGGUGG
RNAcentral lists this ribosomal RNA (515 nucleotides) under Bacillus sp. (in: firmicutes). Its description in RNAcentral is "bacterial SSU rRNA". It matches the Rfam family "Bacterial small subunit ribosomal RNA", at positions 45 to 534 of the family's 1533-position model. The record is from RNAcentral. Lineage: Bacteria; Bacillati; Bacillota; Bacilli; Caryophanales; Bacillaceae.